UACGUAGGUGGCAAGCGUUGUCCGGAAUUACUGGGCGUAAAGCGCGCGUAGGCGGUUUUGUAAGUCGGGUGUGAAAUCCCCAAGCUUAACUUGGGAACUGCAUUCGAGACUGCAUAGCUAGAGUAUGGGAGAGGGAAGUGGAAUUUCAGGUGUAGCGGUGAAAUGCGUAGAUAUCUGAAGGAACAUCAGUGGCGAAAGCGACUUCCUGGACCAAUACUGACGCUCAUGUGCGAAAGCGUGGGGAGCAAACAGG
RNAcentral lists this ribosomal RNA (253 nucleotides) under uncultured bacterium. RNAcentral describes it as "partial 16S ribosomal RNA". It matches the Rfam family "Bacterial small subunit ribosomal RNA", at positions 524 to 776 of the family's 1533-position model. The record is from RNAcentral.